Molecule: long non-coding RNA, 853 nt
Organism: Ictalurus punctatus (channel catfish)
Lineage: Eukaryota; Metazoa; Chordata; Actinopteri; Siluriformes; Ictaluridae
Source: Ensembl
GUCACAGUUUGCCCAGACAUCUUUUUUUAAAUCCGUCAAUCCGUCACCCACACGUCAUUCUGGGGGACGAAGAGGAGGAAGCUGGACAGAUAAAUUUAUUUAUUUAUUUAUCAUUGCUGUGUUUCCUCAAUCGAGUGCAGAAAGAAGAAAAACAACACAACUGAUUUAAAAUAAAAAUAUAGAAAAUAAUCUAAUGUAAGAUUCUGAUCCGGUUUGCUUUCAGCAGGAAGGCUGUCCUCUUUCCUGUUGCUCUUUCUCUUCUAUUAGUCCAUUUGUCCAGUCUGAAUCGGUUUUGAUUCGUUUCGAGACGAUUCGGAGUCGAAUAAUUUUCUAGUGAGAGUCGCACACUUCCAAACGAACUAGACUGAGAUGAGUAUUUGAUUCUCACUAGAAAGUGAUUCGACUCUGAAUAAACUCGAAAUGAAUCAGUCAAACUGAUUCAGACUCUAUAAAAGGACUAUGAGAUGUGAUUAAGAUAUAUAUUCCAAUGUUUUGCUUUACAAUUCCAUUGUGUGUGUGUGUGUGUGUGUGUGUGUGUGCGUGCGCGCGCACGUGUGUUUUUCAGGAGAACGAGAAACUCGGACACAACAGUACAUCCUGACCAUUGGUACUGUGUACACAUCAACAUACACACACGUCUCCAUGCUGGACAUCUCAGGAGCUUUCACACAGUGCUAGGAAUAUCCCGGGACAGAGAAACGCACCUUCUAAAAAUGAUCUUUCGAGGCAGCUUCUUCAUCACUACCUGCUCCGUUUGACUCAAAAAUGUAACGACCGGUUUCAAAAAGUCACGAUGUCUUCAGUUCAUGAGAUUUUACUGUUGAAUUUAAACAGGAAAUGUGAAAUAUUUUUU